AUACGAAGGGGGCUAGCGUUGUUCGGAAUUACUGGGCGUAAAGCGCGCGUAGGCGGAUUGGUCAGUUAGGGGUGAAAUCCCAGGGCUUAACCCUGGAACUGCCUCUAAUACUGUCAGUCUUGAGUUCGGGAGAGGUGAGUGGAAUUCCUAGUGUAGAGGUGAAAUUCGUAGAUAUUAGGAAGAACACCAGUGGCGAAGGCGGCUCACUGGCCCGAUACUGACGCUGAGGCGCGAAAGCGUGGGGAGCAAACAGGAUUAGAUACCCUAGUAGUCC
RNAcentral lists this ribosomal RNA (274 nucleotides) under uncultured bacterium. RNAcentral's name for it is "partial 16S ribosomal RNA". It matches the Rfam family "Bacterial small subunit ribosomal RNA", at positions 523 to 796 of the family's 1533-position model. The record is from RNAcentral.